RNAcentral lists this long non-coding RNA (343 nucleotides) under Phasianus colchicus (ring-necked pheasant). Its description in RNAcentral is "lncRNA (ENSPCLG00000020108.1)". Lineage: Eukaryota; Metazoa; Chordata; Aves; Galliformes; Phasianidae. The record is from RNAcentral.
GCUGAGGGGGCAACUGGGAGCACUGGGAGCAACUGGGGGGGCAACUGGGAGCGGCUGGGGGGCAACUGGGAGCACUGGGGGGCAACUGGUCCUUACUGGUCCUUACUGGUUGUUAGUAGGUCUUAUUGGUCCUUACUGGUCCUUACUGGUGUUACUGGUCCUUACUGGUCCUUACUGGUGUUACUGGUGUUACUGGUGCUACUGGUCCUUACUGGUCCUUACUGGUGUUGCCGGUGCCCGCUUGCAGCGCCGCCAGCAGCAGCCGCCACAACCCGGUGCAGCUGUGGGACGCCUACGACGGCCGCGUCAGGGGCAGCUUCCGGGCCCACAACCACCUGGUGAG